RNAcentral lists this ribosomal RNA (434 nucleotides) under uncultured bacterium. Its description in RNAcentral is "bacterial SSU rRNA". It matches the Rfam family "Bacterial small subunit ribosomal RNA", at positions 29 to 508 of the family's 1533-position model. The record is from RNAcentral.
AACGAACGCUGGCGGCAGGCCUAACACAUGCAAGUCGAGCGAACCCUUCGGGGUUAGCGGCGGACGGGUUAGUAACGCGUGGGAAUAUACCCUUUGGUACGGAAUAGCCUCGGGAAACUGAGAGUAAUACCGUAUGUGCCCUUCGGGGAAAGAUUUAUCGCCAAAGGAUUAGCCCGCGUUGGAUUAGAUAGUUGGUGGGGUAAUGGCCUACCAAGUCUACGAUCCAUAGCUGGUUUGAGAGGAUGAUCAGCAACACUGGGACUGAGACACGGCCCAGACUCCUACGGGAGGCAGCAGUGGGGGAAUCUUAGACAAUGGGCGCAAGCCUGAUCUAGCCAUGCCGCGUGGACGAUGAAGGCCUUAGGGUUGUAAAGUCCUUUCAGAUGGGAAGAUAAUGACGGUACCAUCAGAAGAAGCCCCGGCUAACUCCGUGG